GAUCCGGCUCAGGAUGAACGCUGGCGGCGUGCCUAACACAUGCAAGUCGAACGGACUUACAUUGAAGCCUAGCGAUAUGUAAGUUAGUGGCGGACGGGUGAGUAACGCGUGGGUAACCUGCCUUGUACUGAGGGACAACAGUUGGAAACGACUGCUAAUACCGCAUAAGCGCACAGCUUCGCAUGAAGCAGUGUGAAAAACUCCGGUGGUACAAGAUGGACCCGCGUCUGAUUAG
This 235-nucleotide ribosomal RNA is filed under the name uncultured bacterium. RNAcentral's name for it is "partial 16S ribosomal RNA". It matches the Rfam family "Bacterial small subunit ribosomal RNA", at positions 15 to 244 of the family's 1533-position model. The record is from RNAcentral.